RNAcentral lists this ribosomal RNA (511 nucleotides) under Salmonella enterica. RNAcentral's name for it is "partial 23S ribosomal RNA". It matches the Rfam family "Bacterial large subunit ribosomal RNA", at positions 808 to 1315 of the family's 2925-position model. The record is from RNAcentral. Lineage: Bacteria; Pseudomonadati; Pseudomonadota; Gammaproteobacteria; Enterobacterales; Enterobacteriaceae. RNAcentral also lists the same sequence under 1 other name.
CUUGUGGCUGGGGGUGAAAGGCCAAUCAAACCGGGAGAUAGCUGGUUCUCCCCGAAAGCUAUUUAGGUAGCGCCUCGUGAACUCAUCUUCGGGGGUAGAGCACUGUUUCGGCUAGGGGGUCAUCCCGACUUACCAACCCGAUGCAAACUGCGAAUACCGAAGAAUGUUAUCACGGGAGACACACGGCGGGUGCUAACGUCCGUCGUGAAGAGGGAAACAACCCAGACCGCCAGCUAAGGUCCCAAAGUCACAGUUAAGUGGGAAACGAUGUGGGAAGGCUCAGACAGCCAGGAUGUUGGCUUAGAAGCAGCCAUCAUUUAAAGAAAGCGUAAUAGCUCACUGGUCGAGUCGGCCUGCGCGGAAGAUGUAACGGGGCUAAACUGUGCACCGAAGCUGCGGCAGCGACGCUUAUGCGUUGUUGGGUAGGGGAGCGUUCUGUAAGCCUGCGAAGGUGUCCUGUGAGGGAUGCUGGAGGUAUCAGAAGUGCGAAUGCUGACAUAAGUAACGAUAA